ACGAACGCUGGCGGCAUGCCUAACACAUGCAAGUCGAACGAGACCUUCGGGUCUAGUGGCGCACGGGUGCGUAACGCGUGGGAACCUGCCCUUAGGUUCGGAAUAACUCCCCGAAAGGGGUGCUAAUACCGGAUAAUGUCUUCGGACCAAAGAUUUAUCGCCUUUGGAUGGGCCCGCGUUGGAUUAGCUAGUUGGUAGGGUAAAAGCCUACCAAGGCGACGAUCCAUAGCUGGUCUGAGAGGAUGAUCAGCCACACUGGGACUGAGACACGGCCCAGACUCCUACGGGAGGCAGCAGUGGGGAAUAUUGGACAAUGGGCGAAAGCCUGAUCCAGCAAUGCCGCGUGAGUGAUGAAGGCCUUAGGGUUGUAAAGCUCUGUUACCCGGGAUGAUAAUGACAGUACCGGGAGAAUAAGCUCCGGCUAACUCCGUG
Molecule: ribosomal RNA, 432 nt
Filed under: uncultured bacterium
Lineage: Bacteria
Description: partial 16S ribosomal RNA
Rfam family: Bacterial small subunit ribosomal RNA
Source: RNAcentral